AUUGAACGCUGGCGGCAUGCUUUACACAUGCAAGCCGAACGGUAGAGGGGGCAACCCCUUGAGAGUGGCGAACGGGUGAGUAAUGCAUCGGAACGUGCCCAGUCGUGGGGGAUAACGCAGCGAAAGCUGUGCUAAUACCGCAUACGAUCUCUGGAUGAAAGCGGGGGACCGAAAGGCCUCGCGCGAUUGGAGCGGCCGAUGUCAGAUUAGGUAGUUGGUGGGGUAAAGGCUCACCAAGCCAGCGAUCUGUAGCUGGUCUGAGAGGACGACCAGCCACACGGGGACGGAGACACGGCCCAGACCCCUACGGGAGGAAGCAGUGGGGAAGUUUGGACAAUGGGCGCAAGCCUGAUCCAGCAAUGCCGCGUGCAGGAAGAAGGCCUUCGGGUUGUAAACUGCCUUUGUACGGAACGAAAAGGUCUGGGUUAAUACCCUGGGCACAUGACGGUACCGUAAGAAUAAGCACCGGCUAACUACGUGCCAGCCGCCGCCGUAA
This 496-nucleotide ribosomal RNA is filed under the name uncultured bacterium. RNAcentral's name for it is "partial 16S ribosomal RNA". It matches the Rfam family "Bacterial small subunit ribosomal RNA", at positions 29 to 523 of the family's 1533-position model. The record is from RNAcentral.